This 274-nucleotide ribosomal RNA is filed under the name uncultured bacterium. Its description in RNAcentral is "partial 16S ribosomal RNA". It matches the Rfam family "Bacterial small subunit ribosomal RNA", at positions 523 to 796 of the family's 1533-position model. The record is from RNAcentral.
AUACGGGGGAUGCAAGCGUUAUCCGGAAUCAUUGGGCGUAAAGCGUCUGCAGGUUGUUUGAUAAGUCUGUUGUUAAAGACUGGGGCUUAACCCCAGGAAAGCAAUGGAAACUGUCAGACUUGAGUAUGGUAGAGGUAGAGGGAAUUCCUAGUGUAGCGGUGAAAUGCGUAGAUAUUAGGAAGAACACCGGUGGCGAAAGCGCUCUACUGGGCCAUAACUGACACUCAGAGACGAAAGCUAGGGUAGCAAAUGGGAUUAGAAACCCCGGUAGUCC